GCCCGGUUAGCUCAAUCGGUAGAGCGUGAGACUCUUAUCAGUUUCACUUUCUCAGAAAGCGAUUGAAUGGCAAUCUCAAGGUUGCGGGUUCGACCCCCGCAUCGGGCU
Molecule: transfer RNA, 108 nt
Filed under: Massarina eburnea CBS 473.64
Lineage: Eukaryota; Fungi; Ascomycota; Dothideomycetes; Pleosporales; Massarinaceae
Rfam family: tRNA
About the family: Transfer RNA (tRNA) molecules are approximately 80 nucleotides in length. Their secondary structure includes four short double-helical elements and three loops (D, anti-codon, and T loops). Further hydrogen bonds mediate the characteristic L-shaped molecular structure. tRNAs have two regions of fundamental functional importance: the anti-codon, which is responsible for specific mRNA codon recognition, and the 3' end, to which the tRNAs corresponding amino acid is attached (by aminoacyl-tRNA synthetases). tRNAs cope with the degeneracy of the genetic code in two manners: having more than one tRNA (with a specific anti-codon) for a particular amino acid; and 'wobble' base-pairing, i.e. permitting non-standard base-pairing at the 3rd anti-codon position.
Source: Rfam by way of RNAcentral